Molecule: ribosomal RNA, 305 nt
Filed under: uncultured bacterium
Lineage: Bacteria
Description: bacterial SSU rRNA
Rfam family: Bacterial small subunit ribosomal RNA
Source: RNAcentral
UCUCCUACGGGACGCAGCAGUGAGGAAUAUUGGUCAAUGGGCGGAAGCCUGAACCAGCCAAGUCGCGUGAGGGAAUAAGGCCCUACGGGUCGUAAACCUCUUUUGCCGGGGAGCAAGGGCCGGGACGAGUCCCGGUCCGGAGAGUACCCGGAGAAAAAGCAUCGGCUAACUUCGUGCCAGCAGCCGCGGUGAUACGGAGGAUGCGAGCGUUAUCCGGAUUUAUUGGGUUUAAAGGGUGCGUAGGCGGGCUUUUAAGUCAGCGGUAAAAAUUCGGGGCUCAGCCCCGACCGGCAGUUGAAACUGGG